Panthera uncia (snow leopard) is the source of this 512-nucleotide long non-coding RNA. RefSeq lists it as uncharacterized. The record is from RefSeq and is a predicted model, not a curated record. Lineage: Eukaryota; Metazoa; Chordata; Mammalia; Carnivora; Felidae. The transcript has 3 exons.
AGUCACGGCCCACAUGACCGAAUGGCUUCUCACACCGUGGAUGAGCUGGUGAGGGCCCCAGAGCUGCCCCGUUUCUUCAGCCAGGAACCCUGCUAUCCUUUGGAUCGGGGGAUUCGAGACGUGAUUUCUACAGGGGACUGCAAUACGCUUGAUGGGAUAGAAACUGCCAUCUGCUUACUGACUUUGUCUACUUCCUACGCCAUCUGUCAUGGAGGCUGUUGAAGACGAUUCAACAAGAAAGGAACACGCAUCAGACUGGGAGGCGACCUGCAGAGCACAGAGCACGCGGACAGGACAGAGGGCCUGGGACAGGAGGCCAGCAUGGGCCCUGCUAUUUUCCACCUCGGAGGCCCAGGUGGACGGAAGGACCUGCAGGCAUCGGGUGCCACGUACGGAAACAUGUAGAGAAAACUUAAAGUAAUUUUAGGCCUUCAUCAUUCACACACCUGAAGAUAGACUGAUGGGAUGAGACACAGGUGCCCUCAUGGUCUAUGUGUGGCCUUAGAGCCUGG